UGCAUCUGUAGUUCAUGAGGAUGAGAACCUCCGGGGGAAGAGGUUCGACUCGAGCGGAGCGAGAGAACGUUGCGUCAGCAACGGCCCGCAGGGCGAGCCACGUAGUGGCGAGUCAUCCUCUAUCACCGACCA
RNAcentral lists this small RNA (132 nucleotides) under Klebsiella oxytoca. Its description in RNAcentral is "RtT sRNA". It matches the Rfam family "RtT RNA". Rfam says of the family: This family represents a bacterial cis-regulatory element known as RtT RNA. The exact function of RtT is unknown although it is thought that it may be involved in changing the cellular response in relation to amino acid starvation. The record is from RNAcentral. RNAcentral also lists the same sequence under 3 other names. Lineage: Bacteria; Pseudomonadati; Pseudomonadota; Gammaproteobacteria; Enterobacterales; Enterobacteriaceae.